ACACUCCUGCGGGAGGCAGCAGUGGGGAAUAUUGGACAAUGGGCGAAAGCCUGAUCCAGCAAUGCCGCGUGAGUGAUGAAGGCCUUAGGGUUGUACAGCUCUUUUACCCGGGAUGAUAAUGACAGUACCGGGAGAAUAAGCCCCGGCUAACUCCGUGCCAGCAGCCGCGGUAAUACGGAGGGGGCUAGCGUUGUUCGGAAUUACUGGGCGUAAAGCGCGCGUAGGCGGCUUUGUAAGUUAGAGGUGAAAGCCCGGAGCUCAACUUCGGAAUUGCCUUUAAGACUGCAUCGCUAGAAUCGUGGAGAGGUGAGUGGAAUUCCGAGUGUAGAGGUGAAAUUCGUAGAUAUUCGGAAGAACACCAGUGGCGAAGGCGACUCACUGGACACGUAUUGACGCUGAGGUGCGAAAGCGUGGGGAGCAAACAGGAUUAGAAACCCCAGUAGUCCCAUGA
This 451-nucleotide ribosomal RNA is filed under the name uncultured organism. Its description in RNAcentral is "partial 16S ribosomal RNA". It matches the Rfam family "Bacterial small subunit ribosomal RNA", at positions 333 to 800 of the family's 1533-position model. The record is from RNAcentral.